This 254-nucleotide ribosomal RNA is filed under the name uncultured bacterium. RNAcentral describes it as "partial 16S ribosomal RNA". It matches the Rfam family "Bacterial small subunit ribosomal RNA", at positions 524 to 776 of the family's 1533-position model. The record is from RNAcentral.
UACGGGGGGAGCAAGCGUUGUUCGGAUUUACUGGGCGUAAAGGGCGCGUAGGCGGUCAGCACAAGUCAGUUGUGAAAUCUCCGGGCUUAACUCGGAAAGGUCAACUGAUACUGUGCGGCUAGAGUGCAGAAGGGGCAACUGGAAUUCUCGGUGUAGCGGUGAAAUGCGUAGAUAUCGAGAGGAACACCUGCGGCGAAGGCGGGUUGCUGGGCUGACACUGACGCUGAGGAACGAAAGCUAGGGGAGCAAACAGG